CCUCUGAAGAGGGUUGCGCAGGCGCAUUGCUGUUCCCUAAAGGAGGAGCUGGAUCUCCAGACAGAUCCGUCUGACAGCAGAAUGAAUCAGAACCACCGAAACAUAUGAAGCAAAGAACCGUUGCAGAAACUGGCAGUGAGGAAAAUAAUCUGUGAUUGCAGGUGACAGAUGGUGGAGCCACAGAUGGGAACCAGUGGUGGACCUGCAGCCUCUGACUGACCAGCUGUGCUGAUAGACGUUCUGUUUGCACCAACGCUGCUUUAGUUACUACAGUUCACUGCAUUUGCAGUUUUUAUGUGACAUAAUUUUUACUUGAAGUAAUUGGUUUUAUAAAAAUGUUAUGAAUAUUCUUUUUUUUUAUGACUUGAACUUUAUUGAUUUUCCAACAGAAAUAUAGCCUAAUUACACACUUGGCAUAUUACAAUUUAGCAUCAGCUAAACAAAGUUAGUCCUUGUGAAUUCUUCAGGCCAACAGAAAUUACUUGAACAAAAAAUAAAUUAAAUAAAACAAAAAUAAAUACAAUAACAAAUGAAUAACAAAACAUGACUGUAAAAGUAGAGAAAAAAGGCAAGACACAGACAUGAACUGAACUUAGACAUACAUAACAUAAAAUAACAUAACACUCCCCUAUAACCCCGAUACAUUCAAAUAACUACAGCAUCACCGUAAAUUCCUCUAGUCUAAUUAUGGAAAUGCCAUUUAACCCAUGUGAGAAGUAGCAGGACCAUUUCCUGUUGUACUCCUCAACCCUGUUUAAAGGUCUAUAAGAUAAUCUCUCUAAGGCAGCAGCUGCCCCAGUGACCUAUACCAAUGAGUGAUAGACGGACCCCUCCAUUCCCUCCCCAGCAUUAGGGCUGUCAGGGCGAGAGAGAGGAAGUCAGGUGAGCCAAUAAUGAUGGAUCCCAGAGAAUAUAAAGUCUGCUGCAGAACGGUAUUUUCUGGCCAACUAUUUUUCCUACGACUUUGUGAACUGAUGACCAAUAAUCUUGGAUUUCUGGACAGUCCCAUAGCAUAUGUACCAGUGUGCCAUUAUCCUUUUGACACUUCCAACAAACCGAGGUUUCUGACAGGCCAACCCUGUAUGGAGUCCAGUAUACUAUGUAGUAUCUUAAAUUGCUCCAGUCUUGUUUUUAGUUCCCUUGAACUUUUCUUCCCAUUCCUAAGAAUUGAAAGCCAUUCCUCUUCUGUGAGACUAAGAUUUAGAUCUGUUUCCCAAGAUCUCUUAAGAGACAUAAURUUAGGAUCCAAGGCUGUCGACAACAUUCUAUAGUAAACUGAAGCUUCAUGCCCAAACACCUUCUUUAUAUCUGCCAGUGUGUUGCAGGUUACAGGAAUAAUAGUGGGGGAACCAAACGUUUUAACCAGCAAAUGUCUUAAUUGUAAAUAUCUACAGAAAUCUUGUCUGAGUAACUUAAAUUCCCCAACCAAUGUUUCAAAGGACUUCAAUGAGCCGUUCUCAUAUAAAUCGCCUAUCUCACAUAUUCCUUUCUGAAACCAGGACUUCCAAAAAAA
Poecilia reticulata (guppy) is the source of this 1513-nucleotide long non-coding RNA. RefSeq lists it as uncharacterized. Lineage: Eukaryota; Metazoa; Chordata; Actinopteri; Cyprinodontiformes; Poeciliidae. The record is from RefSeq and is a predicted model, not a curated record.